CCGCGGGGCUGCAUGGCCCUGCGGCCAAAGGGAGCGAUUCCGGCAACGGAUGGGCAUGCGUGACAUUAGCUAGUUGGCGGGGCAACGGCCCACCAAGGCGACGAUGUCUAGGGGUUCUGAGAGGAAGGUCCCCCACACUGGUACUGAGACACGGACCAGACUCCUACGGGAGGCAGCAGUGAGGAAUAUUGGUCAAUGGGCGCGAGCCUGAACCAGCCAAGUCGCGUGAGGGAUGACGGCCCUACGGGUUGUAAACCUCUUUUGUCGGGGAGCAAAUUCCGCCACGUGUGGCGGAGUCGAGAGUACCCGAAGAAAAAGCAUCGGCUAACUCCGUGCCAGCAGCCGCGGUAAUACGGAGGAUGCGAGCGUUAUCCGGAUUUAUUGGGUUUAAAGGGUGCGUAGGCGGACUGUCAAGUCAGCGGUAAAAUACGGGGGCUCAACCUCCGCCCGCCGUUGAAACUGACGGUCUUGAGUGGGCGAGAAGUAUGCGGAAUGCGUGGUGUAGCGGUGAAAUGCAUAGAUAUCACGCAGAACUCCGAUUGCGAAGGCAGCAUACCGGCGCCCGACUGACGCUGAAGCACGAAAGCGUGGGUAUCGAACAGGAUUAGAUACCCUGGUAGUCCACGCAGUAAACGAU
RNAcentral lists this ribosomal RNA (637 nucleotides) under uncultured bacterium. RNAcentral's name for it is "bacterial SSU rRNA". It matches the Rfam family "Bacterial small subunit ribosomal RNA", at positions 173 to 810 of the family's 1533-position model. The record is from RNAcentral.